CUUUGGUCUCUUGGCUCCUUCCCAGUUUGCAGGGGAUGUUACCAUCCCAAGUUCUUCCUGUAACAAAUAUGCAUUCAGAAUGGCUCUCUGAAUGGCAUGUGACUAUGCAAUUUAUACAAGCUGGGGAGUUAGCCAUGAAGAGACCAAGUGGUACAUUUCUUUAAUGAAAUCACACACGACUAGGAUCAGUGUUAUAUGCUAGCUCUGGUUCUCUCUGAAUGAUGUCCAAGGACUCUGCCUGAACUUGUUAGUGAAAGAUGAGCCAAAGACAGGGAGGGAAUGAGUCAGGGAGCGUACAUCCACUUCCCACAAGGCUUCCAUCAAUGGCACCAUGCAUGGGACUGUAAGAUUGAGCCAACUUGCUGAGAUAAAAAAUAACUUCAUCGUGAUCCCUUAGGAGACAGGACUAAAAAUAGAGAUGCCCUCUGUGGCUUGAAUGAGAAGUGCCUGGAGAAGGAAAGGCACCAGCAUGCCUGGUGGGGGUUGCUUCUCUGUGCAUCUUCAUGUAAAACAUCAGGGGCUUCCAGUUUUCUGACCCUUUAAGGAGUUUUUUGACCCUUACUCUCACAAGGACAAAAUUGGAGACACUGGUUAUUUUCCCCAAGGCUUUGAAUGAAUGACAUGCUUUCGGAUACAAACAGACUCCUUUAAGAAAUCAAUGUUAACUUAGAGAGCCAAUAAAAUCCCCUUGGGAAAAGUGGACCCACAUCUUGUCUACACAAUCCCUGUGCAGGCUUUCUCACCUGUGGAACGCCUGACUGGUAUGAGAAAAAUGCCUCAACUAAGCCUGUGUACAACUUCAGCAAACACACUGUGCUUGCAGCCCCUCCCAAGUGCUGGCAGGCCACUGAGCAUGCAGACAGCCUACCCCAAAAGAAGUAACGGGGAGAAGUAACACAACCCCAGAAGCAUCUCAAUACAUAAAACUUCAAGUUAAAGAUCAAACAGCACACUUGAAUCUCUCAAGUCACCUGCUUGGCUCUCUUCUAAGUGUACCUUACUUUCUUUUGUUCCUGCUCUAAAACUUUUUAAUAAACUU
RNAcentral lists this long non-coding RNA (1039 nucleotides) under Homo sapiens (human). Its description in RNAcentral is "HSALNT0344222". The record is from RNAcentral. Lineage: Eukaryota; Metazoa; Chordata; Mammalia; Primates; Hominidae.